UUUUUUGAUCGGCCGCUCCAAUAUUUCCCUCCCAAAAGCACCUUACACCUCUACAACUAUACAAACCUAUCCAUCCUCCAUGUUUACACUCAACACACAUGAAUCCACAGUCAAAGACCCCCUCCCCCUCUCCUGAUUCUUUUCGGCAGACACGCCGAAACCGGCGACAACGCUGACGGGUUGUUCCGAUGAAACCCCGACCACAAAUCUCCAAUUCCUUCUCCCGGCUACUCCCUUCCUCCUCUUUUCUCGUCUGAUUGGCAGCCACGGCGACAGAGGGUCGCGGAGUCAAUAAUGAAGGUGAUGAAGAUGGUGGUGGAGCAACGCCGACGACGUCUUCAGGUCGACCUGCGUUGCGGCGUCUGCGGCGGUGGACGACGGUGGUGGUUCACGGCUCGGGUUAUUUCAGUUUAGUCCGCACCGGUCAAACUGGUUCAAAUUGUGUUCGGGUUAGUUCACUCGGGUGAACUCAGGUGACUUGGUUCAGCUUGGUUCGGGUCUCGACUCGAGUUUCGGUCGACAUCAGUUCGGGUUCGGAAGUGGAGGUAGUCGUGGGUUACCCGUGUUUCGGUUCAAGACUUCAAGUUUAGUUUCAAUUCACUUGUUUCAGUCCAUGUUUGGGUCUCGGUUCAGCCUUCACCGAGUCAACUUGGUGUCUUGAGUUCCAGUUCAGUCAGAUUUCGGAUCGGGAUUCACGUCGGAGUUUAACGCGACUCGUUUCGCUAUGAAAAUAUGGAUGAAUGUGUUGAUUGUUGAGGUGAUAUUCAAGAUGAAACAAGAUUUAGGGUGGACUAGAUACACACCUAGAUUAAUCUAUCUUUUAUUGUUAUGAUUUAUGUUGAAACAAUGUUGUUAUUUUUGUUUGAAUCUUGUAUGACAAUUAGUCCUGAAAUGAAAUUCGAAUU
Molecule: long non-coding RNA, 905 nt
Filed under: Helianthus annuus (common sunflower)
Lineage: Eukaryota; Viridiplantae; Streptophyta; Magnoliopsida; Asterales; Asteraceae
Description: hypothetical non coding rna
Source: RNAcentral